This is a transfer RNA of Pelodiscus sinensis (Chinese soft-shelled turtle), 72 nucleotides long. It matches the Rfam family "tRNA". Rfam says of the family: Transfer RNA (tRNA) molecules are approximately 80 nucleotides in length. Their secondary structure includes four short double-helical elements and three loops (D, anti-codon, and T loops). NCBI's taxonomy places the organism in Eukaryota, Metazoa, Chordata, Testudines, Trionychidae. The record is from Rfam.
UCCCUGGUGGUCUAGUGGCUAGGAUGUAGCACUCUUGCUGCUGCAGCCUAGGUUCAAUUCCUGGUUGGGGAA